AAGGGANAGNCAACCGCACAAACAGGNGNAGCAUUCNNNUUUNAUUUGAAGGUACGNGAAGAACCUUAACCUANACUAANACAUCCCUGGNCAAUUCUAAUAGAAAAAUAGCNGUGGUUAACCCNNNUGAGCAGGUGGUGCCAUGGUUGUCGUCAGCUAGUGUCGUGAGAUGUUCGGUUAAGUCCGAUAACGAGCGCAACCCUUAUUNCUAGUUACUANCAUUUAGUUGGGUUCUCUAGCGAUACUCCCGGUGACAAACCGGAGGAAGGUGGGGACGACGUCAAAUCAUCAUGCCCCUUACGUCUAGGGCUACAGGCGUGCUACAAUGGCCGAUACAAAGAGACGCAAUGCCGUGAGGUGGAGCAAAUCUCCAAAAUCGGUCCCAGUUCGGAUUGGAGUCUGCAACUUCGACUCCAUGAAGUUGGAAUCGCUAGUAAUCGUGAAUCAGAAUGUUCAGGGUGAAUACGUUUCCCGGGUGUUGUACACACCGCCCGUCACGCUAUGAGAGUCUGUAAUACCCGAAGUCGGUAUCCUAACCUUUAGGGAGGGGGCCAACGAAGGUUUUNAUAGGCGGAG
RNAcentral lists this ribosomal RNA (576 nucleotides) under uncultured bacterium. Its description in RNAcentral is "partial 16S ribosomal RNA". It matches the Rfam family "Bacterial small subunit ribosomal RNA", at positions 903 to 1480 of the family's 1533-position model. The record is from RNAcentral.